GUGGAAUCAUCUGGCAAAUGCAAUGCUGAUGGACCUUAACCCUCCAAGAUGUGGAAAUGAAGAGCUACAGCCAGACAGGAAUUGGUGGAAACAAGUGGAAAAGAGAAGACUGAUGUUGACCUUUCCAAUAGCAAGACAUAUCACCGUGGAUAACUGUCACAGAUCAGCGUGCUUUGAUGUUUUGGUGACAGUACCCUGUAGGAGACUCAGAUAAAGUCAUGUGGAUGUGCUUGACAAUAUGAAUGACAAGGAGCCCUCAGAAAAUAAAAGUAUUGAAGAGGCAAAUCCUUGUGAUCAUGUUUGGAGAAAGACAAAGAAAUGACAAUUAAUGCAGGAAGCCAGAUCUGUGAAGCACACAUGUACAAGCACAUCCGUUUACAAUAUUAUUUUUUUAUUGUCCAAAACAAAUUUUUUGAAACAUUUGUUUUGGAAAUGGGUGUCUGAGUUGUAAGAGCUAGGGUAUGGGGUCACCUACUCAGACACGUGGGUUUUCUCCGGGUGCUCCGGUUUCCUCCCACACUGACCCCAUUCUUUU
Saccostrea echinata is the source of this 535-nucleotide long non-coding RNA. RefSeq lists it as uncharacterized. The transcript has 3 exons. Lineage: Eukaryota; Metazoa; Mollusca; Bivalvia; Ostreida; Ostreidae. The record is from RefSeq and is a predicted model, not a curated record.